This 497-nucleotide ribosomal RNA is filed under the name uncultured bacterium. RNAcentral describes it as "partial 16S ribosomal RNA". It matches the Rfam family "Bacterial small subunit ribosomal RNA", at positions 28 to 507 of the family's 1533-position model. The record is from RNAcentral.
GAUGAACGCUGGCGGCGUGCCUAAUACAUGCAAGUCGAGCGAACAGACGAGGAGCUUGCUCCUCUGACGUUAGCGGCGGACGGGUGAGUAACACGUGGAUAACCUACCUAUAAGACUGGGAUAACUUCGGGAAACCGGAGCUAAUACCGGAUAAUAUAUUGAACCGCAUGGUUCAAUAGUGAAAGACGGUUUUGCUGUCACCUAUAGAUGGAUCCGCGCCGCAUUAGCUAGUUGGUAAGGUAACGGCUUACCAAGGCAACGAUGCGUAGCCGACCUGAGAGGGUGAUCGGCCACACUGGAACUGAGACACGGUCCAGACUCCUACGGGAGGCAGCAGUAGGGAAUCUUCCGCAAUGGGCGAAAGCCUGACGGAGCAACGCCGCGUGAGUGAUGAAGGUCUUUGGAUCGUAAAACUCUGUUAUUAGGGAAGAACAAAUGUGUAAGUAACUAUGCACGUCUUGACGGUACCUAACCAGAAAGCCACGGCUAACUACGUG